GAGAUGGGAAAACGAUGAGGCUUUGUUUGGUAGAAGUGGAAUGGGGAGGUUUGGGGAGGGCUGGUGGUGGCUGUAGGUAGGUGACGUAUCCUUUCCGCAUCCUCAUGGCCAGCACCGUUAUAUUCCUAGAUAGAAACAAUACAUCCAGAUCCAAUAUUCUUCUUCUAAUUAUUAUUACAUCUGAAAAAAGCAUACCCCUAGAUAGAUAAAUGGAUGGAUGAAUUUGUGUGUCAUCUUUGAUUUUCUAAGUUGACUGACAUGAAUUCAGAAUUGAAGAGGAGGCCCGGGUAGAAUUAAUGUCAGAUGAGCCAAACUGAAUGUGCUUAUUUCCGAAUAAUGUUCAGUCAGAAAAAACUUGAACCAAAACUGAAUAACCUACGGUCAUAAGGAAAUUCUUUGUUUGGAAACUGAUUGUCUAUCUAGAAUGUUGCAGUUGUGGCACUACAUGAUCUUACUAAUGCUGUCUUUUCUACUCAAUGUGGCUGUAUUUUCUUGGUGGUAUCACGCAGAUUGGUUCUUAUUUAUGUCGUCUAUUUUUUUAUCUAGCUAGCUAGCUAACUUGCUCCAUUUCCAUUGAACUGAAUCUAUGUAAUAGACCUUGCUAACUUGUUCUCCCUCCAUACAUAAAAAAAAAACUUGUUCUCCCUCCAUGGACCUUGCAGCCUCUUCCACAUUCCACCACCAUCAGCCUCCUUAACCCCAACCGAAGAGCUGGCCUUUUCCCCAGUAAGAUGUAACUUUUGUUCAGAGUAAUGAUUUCAGUUCAGUCUGCAUAGUUCAGCUUCAUAGAGAAGAUAAUGAUUUCUGUUUUUUAGCCUACUGCAAUUGUUUAGAGUAAUGUGUGGACAAAAUUCAGGUUUUGUCCCACAUCACAUUGCAUUGUUUGGAGGUUUUGUACAUCAGCUUCCUUUUUGAUCUUCUUAUUUAAACUUGUUGCAGUACCUGUGACACAUGACGCCUAACUGCUUAACUAAUUUUCUGCUAAUUCAGCUCACACGGCGCUGUGGUACGCGGAUGUCGCUGCAGAGUAGAGAGAUACCCCUAGAAGUCGCCUUCCUGUCCACCUCUUCAGAAGUGCCACCGCCUUGGACACGACGACAUUAGAACCCAAUUCCUAUCAUAGAGAUAUGGGGUCAGGAAAACCCAACAGUUCAUUUAUUCCUGCUAGUUAAACUUGGGCUGUUAUAGAGAUAUGCAGGCCCAUCUAAUUACAUGUUACUCUCAAACUGUUUGAGCAAUAUGCAGUGAUGUUAGUCUGUAAUGCAUUGACAAUGGCCGCUACUUCAGGCGUUGCUAGCUGCAUUUCUCUACUGCCCUGUUGUUUUGUAGGUGACGCCCUUAGUUUUGCUACUUUGCAUAUUCUGGGAGCAAUUACAGUGAGGUUAUAUGUGAUUUUUGUUCACUUAAUAUCUACACUGCUCUUCCUUGCAUAAUUUGAUGUCGUUUUACUUGGAAAGAUUGCAUUUUUAUUUGUUUGCACUAUCUUAUCUAAAUAUGUCAAUUCCUGUCAGGG
Molecule: long non-coding RNA, 1513 nt
Filed under: Triticum aestivum (bread wheat)
Lineage: Eukaryota; Viridiplantae; Streptophyta; Magnoliopsida; Poales; Poaceae
Description: long non-coding RNA (TAES_LNC027223)
Source: RNAcentral